UGGGGAAUUUUGGACAAUGGGGGCAACCCUGAUCCAGCAAUGCCGCGUGUGUGAAGAAGGCCUUCGGGUUGUAAAGCACUUUUGUCCGGGAAGAAAUCGCACCUGAUAAUACCGGGUGUGGAUGACGGUACCGGAAGAAUAAGGACCGGCUAACUACGUGCCAGCAGCCGCGGUAAUACGUAGGGUCCAAGCGUUAAUCGGAAUUACUGGGCGUAAAGCGUGCGCAGGCGGUUGUGCAAGACCGAUGUGAAAUCCCCGGGCUUAACCUGGGAAUCGCAUUGGUGACUGCACGGCUAGAGUGUGUCAGAGGGGGGUAGAAUUCCACGUGUAGCAGUGAAAUGCGUAGAGAUGUGGAGGAAUACCGAUGGCGAAGGCAGCCCCCUGGGAUAACACUGACGCUCAUGCACGAAAGCGUGGGGAGCAAACAGG
This 429-nucleotide ribosomal RNA is filed under the name Acidobacteriota bacterium. RNAcentral's name for it is "Acidobacteria bacterium partial 16S ribosomal RNA". It matches the Rfam family "Bacterial small subunit ribosomal RNA", at positions 355 to 776 of the family's 1533-position model. The record is from RNAcentral. Lineage: Bacteria; Pseudomonadati; Acidobacteriota.